Molecule: unclassified non-coding RNA, 798 nt
Filed under: Hevea brasiliensis (rubber tree)
Lineage: Eukaryota; Viridiplantae; Streptophyta; Magnoliopsida; Malpighiales; Euphorbiaceae
Source: RNAcentral
GUCUGCCCUUUGGUUCCACUGGGAGCCUUCGAGUCUGAACCUGAACUUUUCUCUGGGGAAGGCGGUGUAUCUGAUAAUGUUGGCUGAUUAUCACCGGGAAAUGGGCUUUUCGAUGGUAACUCCUUGCUUGAUUUAGGACUGCGACUCGAUGGAGGAAAUGGGCUAAUGCUCAGAGGAGGAGCUGCCGCAGUUACAUUAGCAACAAGAUGAGCAUUUCCGUCUAUAAUGACUUUCACACUAUCCCGGAAUUUCGGUAAUGGUGGAUCAAAAUUGUUCCCACUUAAAUCCAACAAUCUCAAUGAUCUGAGCUCUGUUAAGUUUGCAGGAACUCGACCGUGCAAGCUAUUUCUUUUUAAGUGAACUUCAAGCAGUGAAUCCAAGUUUGCAAGUGAAGGACUAAGCGUACCCGUAAGGUUCUUGUUCUGUAGAUUAACAAUAGUAAUCUGGCCUUUAGAAUUGCAACUGAUUCCCAACCAAGGACCUGCACAUGGAUCAUUACCACUCCAUUCAGGAGCAAGGUUAGCUGGAUAAUUCCAACCGCCAAGAAGAUCUAAAAGUGCAUUAACUUGAGGAGCACAAGGAACACCAGGAGUUGUCUGACAGAAAGAAUUCGAGGAAUAUGUAGCAUUCACAGCUCUAAACUUCGGCACAGGACCCAUUAGCUUAUUAUUGUUCAAGUCUAACACACUCAAGUCUAGAUUCGCCAAACCUUGCGGAAUCAGACCAACGAGUUGAUUUCCGUUAAAAUUUAGCUCCUUCAAGUCAUUCAAAUCACCAAUUGUAUCAGGAAUCGGUCCA